ACACAUGAAACAUGGCAAUGUUCAGGGCAGCAUGUGAUUGACUGCCAAAGUGUCUCAAGCAGGAAGUACCAAGGGAGGAUGGAGAUGGGAAUAAUCAGGGUUGGGUGGAGAAUAUCUGAGGAAACUGCACUUGAUUUGGGCCUUGAAGAAUAAUUGACUGGAUUUAGAUUUAUCUAGAAAGGUCGUUCCCAGCAGAAGCAACAAGAACAACAAGCUUGGAGCUGCAUUUCCUCUGAGAGAACAGCGGUCUUCUGUCUGCUGUGGCAAGCAAGUCACUUCUUCUUGUAGUGAGAACUGAAACCAGAACCAUCAUGUGCCACUUCCUGGACACCUCCUAUUAAAUAUUAAAGUCCUCUCACCACAGAAGCCGGAGUUUAGUGGUUAGGGGCACAGGUUCUUAGAUAUGAACAUCAGUUGCAACCUGCCAACUGCAUGCUCUUGGACAAUUUACAUUUCAGUGUAUCAGCUUUCCUUUUUCUUUAGAAUGAGAUAUUAAUAGUAGCAACCCAGAAUUGUCAUGAAGCCUAACUAAGUUUUUAUAUAUAAAGAGAGUUAGAAGAGGGCUUGGAAUGUAACAAUAACUCAAUUAAUAUUGGCCUAUUAUGA
This 606-nucleotide small RNA is filed under the name Pan troglodytes (chimpanzee). RNAcentral's name for it is "processed transcript". The record is from RNAcentral. Lineage: Eukaryota; Metazoa; Chordata; Mammalia; Primates; Hominidae.